GUAAACAUUUCACUGUGAGGUCUACACUGUUGGUUAAGGGCUUGUCAGUAAACAUUUCACUGUGAGGUCUACACUGUUGGUUAAGGGCUUGUCAGUAAACAUUUCACUGUGAGGUCUACACUGUUGGUUAAGGGCUUGUCAGUAAACAUUUCACUGUGAGGUCUACACUGUUGGUUAAGGGCUUGUCAGUAAACAUUUCACUGUGAGGUCUACACUGUUGGUUAAGGGCUUGUCAGUAAACAUUUCACUGUGAGGUCUACACUGUUGGUUAAGGGCUUGUCAGUAAACAUUUCACUGUGAGGUCUACACUGUUGGUUAAGGGCUUGUCAGUAAACAUUUCACUGUGAGGUCUACACUGUUGGUUAAGGGCUUGUCAGUAAACAUUUCACUGUGAGGUCUACACUGUUGGUUAAGGGCUUGUCAGUAAACAUUUCACUGUGAGGUCUACACUGUUGGUUAAGGGCUUGUCAGUAAACAUUU
Long non-coding RNA from Oncorhynchus keta (chum salmon), 480 nucleotides. RefSeq lists it as uncharacterized. The record is from RefSeq and is a predicted model, not a curated record. NCBI's taxonomy places the organism in Eukaryota, Metazoa, Chordata, Actinopteri, Salmoniformes, Salmonidae. The transcript has 6 exons.